UCUCCGUUGGUGAACCAGCGGAGGGAUCAUUACAGAGUUAUCUAACUCCCAAACCCAUGUGAACUUACCAUUUGUUGCCUCGGCAGAGCCUACCCGGUAACUGUUCGGAGAAGCUACCCUGUAGCUACCCUGUAACGGCCUACCCUGUAACGCACUGCCGGUGGACUUUUAAACUCUUGUUAUUCUAUGGAUAUCUGAGCGUCUUAUUUAAUAAGUUAAAACUUUCAACAACGGAUCUCUUGGUUCUGGCAUCGAUGAAGAACGCAGC
RNAcentral lists this unclassified non-coding RNA (268 nucleotides) under uncultured fungus. RNAcentral's name for it is "sequence contains ITS1, 5.8S rRNA gene". The stretch from base 220 to 268 matches the Rfam family "5.8S ribosomal RNA", at positions 1 to 49 of the family's 154-position model. The record is from RNAcentral. Lineage: Eukaryota; Fungi.